This 161-nucleotide ribosomal RNA is filed under the name uncultured bacterium. RNAcentral's name for it is "partial 16S ribosomal RNA". It matches the Rfam family "Bacterial small subunit ribosomal RNA", at positions 358 to 511 of the family's 1533-position model. The record is from RNAcentral.
GGAAUCUUCCACAAUGGGCGCAAGCCUGAUGGAGCAACACCGCGUGAGUGAAGAAGGGUUUCGGCUCGUAAAGCUCUGUUGUUAAAGAAGAACACGUAUGAGAGUAACUGUUCAUACGUUGACGGUAUUUAACCAGAAAGUCACGGCUAACUACGUGUCAG